GAUGAACGCUGGCGGCGUGCCUAAUACAUGCAAGUCGAGCGAACAGACGAGGAGCUUGCUCCUCUGACGUUAGCGGCGGACGGGUGAGUAACACGUGGAUAACCUACCUAUAAGACUGGGAUAACUUCGGGAAACCGGAGCUAAUACCGGAUAAUAUAUUGAACCGCAUGGUUCAAUAGUGAAAGACGGUUUUGCUGUCACUUAUAGAUGGAUCCGCGCCGCAUUAGCUAGUUGGUAAGGUAACGGCUUACCAAGGCAACGAUGCGUAGCCGACCUGAGAGGGUGAUCGGCCACACUGGAACUGAGACACGGUCCAGACUCCUACGGGAGGCAGCAGUAGGGAAUCUUCCGCAAUGGGCGAAAGCCUGACGGAGCAACGCCGCGUGAGUGAUGAAGGUCUUCGGAUCGUAAAACGCUGUUAUUAGGGAAGAACAAAUGUGUAAGUAACUAUGCACGUCUCGACGGUACCUAAUCAGAAAGCCACGGCUAACUACGU
This 496-nucleotide ribosomal RNA is filed under the name uncultured bacterium. Its description in RNAcentral is "partial 16S ribosomal RNA". It matches the Rfam family "Bacterial small subunit ribosomal RNA", at positions 28 to 506 of the family's 1533-position model. The record is from RNAcentral.